RNAcentral lists this ribosomal RNA (500 nucleotides) under uncultured bacterium. RNAcentral's name for it is "partial 16S ribosomal RNA". It matches the Rfam family "Bacterial small subunit ribosomal RNA", at positions 29 to 523 of the family's 1533-position model. The record is from RNAcentral.
AUUGAACGCUGGCGGAAUGCUUUACACAUGCAAGUCGAACGGCAGCACGGGGGCAACCCUGGUGGCGAGUGGCGAACGGGUGAGUAAUACAUCGGAACGUGCCCAGUCGUGGGGGAUAACGUAGCGAAAGCUACGCUAAUACCGCAUACGAUCUCUGGAUGAAAGCGGGGGGCCGCAAGGCCUCGCGCGAUUGGAGCGGCCGAUGGCAGAUUAGGUAGUUGGUGGGGUAAAGGCUCACCAAGCCGACGAUCUGUAGCUGGUCUGAGAGGACGACCAGCCACACUGGGACUGAGACACGGCCCAGACUCCUACGGGAGGCAGCAGUGGGGAAUUUUGGACAAUGGGCGCAAGCCUGAUCCAGCCAUUCCGCGUGCAGGAUGAAGGCCCUCGGGUUGUAAACUGCUUUUGUACGGAACGAAACGGUGCUCUCUAAUACAGGGCGCUAAUGACGGUACCGUAAGAAUAAGCACCGGCUAACUACGUGCCAGCCGCCGCGGUAA